RNAcentral lists this ribosomal RNA (310 nucleotides) under uncultured bacterium. RNAcentral describes it as "partial 16S ribosomal RNA". It matches the Rfam family "Bacterial small subunit ribosomal RNA", at positions 503 to 809 of the family's 1533-position model. The record is from RNAcentral.
AAGAGACAGCAGUCGCCGCGGUAAAACGUAGGGUGCAAGCGUUAAUCGGAAUUACUGGGCGUAAAGCGUGCGCAGGCGGUUAUAUAAGACAGAUGUGAAAUCCCCGGGCUCAACCUGGGAACUGCAUUUGUGACUGUAUAGCUAGAGUACGGCAGAGGGGGAUGGAAUUCCGCGUGUAGCAGUGAAAUGCGUAGAUAUGCGGAGGAACACCGAUGGCGAAGGCAAUCCCCUGGGCCUGUACUGACGCUCAUGCACGAAAGCGUGGGGAGCAAACAGGAUUAGAUACCCGUGUAGUCCCUGUCUCUUAUAA